UUUUUUUUUUUUUUUUUUUUUUGAUAGCUUCGUUGCAGCGAGAACGCCAAGGAUCGUUGCUCUGAUACCAAAUGAUAAGACCCUAAAACCUUAUCGUCGAAGAAAGGGGAGAAAUGGGGAUGAUAAUUAUCACUUCGAGGGGAUCGGCCUCCUUGAUCGCUUCGAGGGGAUCGACCCUCCUUGAUCGCUUCGAGGGGAUCGGCCCUCCUUGAUCGCUUCGAGGGGAUCAGCCUCCUAGGGUUUGUCAAAAAACAUAAUAGUAUUUUCAUAUAUUACUGAAAAGAAGCAAUUACAUCCCUAUUUAUAGAGUUUC
RNAcentral lists this long non-coding RNA (313 nucleotides) under Musa acuminata (dwarf banana). Its description in RNAcentral is "long non-coding RNA (MACU_LNC011154)". Lineage: Eukaryota; Viridiplantae; Streptophyta; Magnoliopsida; Zingiberales; Musaceae. The record is from RNAcentral.